CGGCGACGUCGACUCGAUUCGACACCCCUCUGCCCCGUCACAGGCCUCCACCACCGCGUGUGGGGCGAAGCAGCGCUUCACACGCGCGCUACAAAAAUGCCAGCACAGCCAUUUCAGAACGGCCUGCGCCUCAAACUCCGCCCACCGCCCCGCGCUGCGCAGGUCGCCUCACAGCCGCUUCCCUCACCAGUGGGCGGUGUGAGGGCCCGGGGCGAGACAGUCGUUCAAGUGCCGUGGGCACCCUGCCCAUCACGUGGAUGGGCACAGACCUGUUCACAGUCGCAGGUCGCCCCGACGCCACGCCGUCCAGGGCACGGCCACCCACAUCAGCAGGGAUGCAUCGCACUCGCCUCCCCCCCUACGUCGUAGGCACCUGACCCGGUCACCACCUCAAGUGGUUCGGCAUUUGGCAGGGAUAUAGGAGGGCUGCUUUGGCCUCCUCCACCCACACAGAGGGUGCGGGGCCGCUGGGCCCUGAGAUGCCACGCGCGGAGGUGUGUGUCCCUCCUCUGUCAUGAGGGGUGCUUGAUGACCCUACAGUGCAGGGAAUACACACAACCUCUCACUUCUCUUCCUUCACGACUUUCUGACGGAGCCCCCGUCAAGACCUCUUCGGCACUCUCCGUCUCCGAUACACGGAGAUGUGUUGUUGCCUUCUUCUAUUUUCGUUUGCCUCUGCCCUCAUUGCCAACAUCAUUUCUGCUCUUAUCCCCGGCACAUCGAAGACCUGUUCGGUGUGUCGGCCCCGCAUCCACGACGACAAGGUGGUGUAGCUGCCGUGCGGCCUCCUGUACGACUUCAGUCAUGCCAUUCGCCGGCUGCAACGCCGAGAUGGCCAUCGGCGCUGCGGGGCUGAUGCUCGGCAAGUGGCGAAGGAGCUUAGCAAGGAUACCAAAAAGGAGGCGCCAAGGGCUUCGAGGCGGUGAUGAAGUGAGCGGCGAGCACAGGCGUCGCACACGACGUCACACGUCUGCUCUUCUGCUUUGCAGGUCUCGCCUGCGUAUCACCGCAUGUACGUGUACAUGGUUGUUGGCGCGCGCGGAAGCGUGGCCCGUUCUCUUACUUAAAAAAAUGCCACUUCUCUACGCUCCUACCGUAUUCCUUCAUUGUCUUUCUCUCGCGUCUCGCUCCUCUUCACGGCCGUGGUGCGCGGCUGGCGGUGCGCUUCGCAUGCUUGACCAUAUGCUUCGCGUGUAUGUGAGGCACCUCCGCGGGCCAUGCCGCCUCCUUCCACCAAAAGAAAUGAAGAAAAAAUGGAUAAUAUACCCUCCUGCUCUUCGAAGGUUUCUUACCCACCCCCUCCCCGCCUGUGUUCUUUUCUUUGAAACGAGCUUGCUGCUUUUCCACUCCACAGCUCAAACCCUCCCCCUCCUAAGUGUGUGUGAGUGCGCGUCUUCCUUGUUUUCUGUCUCGCCACUGCACGGCGCGCUCAUCGGAAGGAGGCGUUUUCACGCCUGCGUGCGAAUGUGCUUCAUCCCAAAGUAAGGAUUGGCUUGUGGAGUGGCAGAGCGAGCGAGCAACGAAAUCUGAAAGGGACUCGACGAGGUGCGGGCCCCACGCAGGUGCACUCGUAUAUUGCGUGUGACAGUGGUGAACAUGGUACUGCGACCAGGCCCGCUUUUGACCCGCCUUGCGCUGAGGAGCCCAGUUGAAGUCGGAGUAACCGCCCCCCAAAUACCAGAGAUAUACGCUUGCCCAAGAUGGUUUUAGCAGGUGGGCUUGAGGGCAGUAAAAAGCACCUCCAGCUGCUGGUUUAAGAGCCACGACUCCUCUGUGUGCGCGGCCGACACGCCCAUUAUUGGC
Molecule: unclassified non-coding RNA, 1803 nt
Filed under: Leishmania donovani
Lineage: Eukaryota; Euglenozoa; Kinetoplastea; Trypanosomatida; Trypanosomatidae
Description: gene:unknown
Source: RNAcentral